Non-coding RNA from Cynara cardunculus var. scolymus (artichoke), 161 nucleotides. RefSeq annotates it as small Cajal body-specific RNA 11. NCBI's taxonomy places the organism in Eukaryota, Viridiplantae, Streptophyta, Magnoliopsida, Asterales, Asteraceae. The record is from RefSeq and is a predicted model, not a curated record. The transcript has a single exon.
UGAUUUUUGCCUAUUCCCUCGCUGAUCCCUCGUUGAUCAGCGAGGGAUCAGCGAGGGAAAAGCAAAAAGCAUUUUCCCUCGCAGAUCAGCGAGGGAUCAGCGAGGGAAAUGGCCAAAAAUCAGAUUCCCUCGAUGAUCCCUCGCAGAUCAGCGAGGGAUCA